Molecule: non-coding RNA, 86 nt
Organism: Aspergillus niger
Lineage: Eukaryota; Fungi; Ascomycota; Eurotiomycetes; Eurotiales; Aspergillaceae
Source: Rfam
GCCCGGUUAGCUCAAUUGGUCAGAGCGUCGGACUUUUAUGAUGAUUCGUAAUCCGAAGGCUGCGAGUUCGACCCUCGCAUCGGGCG